RNAcentral lists this ribosomal RNA (472 nucleotides) under uncultured Cytophagaceae bacterium. Its description in RNAcentral is "bacterial SSU rRNA". It matches the Rfam family "Bacterial small subunit ribosomal RNA", at positions 20 to 501 of the family's 1533-position model. The record is from RNAcentral. Lineage: Bacteria; Pseudomonadati; Bacteroidota; Cytophagia; Cytophagales; Cytophagaceae.
UGGCUCAGGAUGAACGCUAGCGGCAGGCUUAAUACAUGCAAGUCGAACGGUUGUAGCAAUACAAUAGUGGCGAACGGGUGCGUAACGCGUAUGCAACUUGUCUCAUACAGGGGGAUAACAAGGGGAAACUCUUGCUAAUACCGCAUAACAUAUUGAGUGGCAUCACUUGAUAUUAAAAUCUGAGGAGGUAUGAGGUGGGCAUGCGUCUGAUUAGUUAGUUGGUAGGGUAACGGCUUACCAAGGCGAUGAUCAGUAGGGGAUCUGAGAGGAUGACCCCCCAACUGGUACUGAGAUACGGACCAGACUCCUACGGGAGCAGCAGUAGGGAAUAUUGGGCAAUGGAAGGAUUCUGACCCAGCCAUGCCGCGUGCAGGGAUGAAUGCGCUAAGCGUUGUAAACUGCUUUUGUCAGGGGGAAGAAAAGGGGGGAGUGCGCUCUAAUUGACGGUACUGAUGAAUAGCAUCGGGCUAAC